CGAAACUGUGGAUGAACCUCUUUAGAGGUUCGUGGUAGGAGAGCGUUCUAAGGGCGGUGAAGUCAGACCGGAAGGACUGGUGGAGCGCUUAGAAGUGAGAAUGCCGGUAUGAGUAGCGAAAGAAGGGGGAGAAUCCCUUCCACCGAAUAUCUAAGGUUUCCUGAGGAAGGCUCGUCCGCUCAGGGUUAGUCGGGACCUAAGCCGAGGCCGAUAGGCGUAGGCG
This 223-nucleotide ribosomal RNA is filed under the name Listeria monocytogenes. RNAcentral's name for it is "partial 23S ribosomal RNA". It matches the Rfam family "Bacterial large subunit ribosomal RNA", at positions 1195 to 1417 of the family's 2925-position model. Lineage: Bacteria; Bacillati; Bacillota; Bacilli; Caryophanales; Listeriaceae. The record is from RNAcentral.